GACGAACGCUGGCGGCGUGCCUAAUACAUGCAAGUAGAACGCACAGUUUAUACCGUAGCUUGCUACACCAUAGACUGUGAGUUGCGAACGGGUGAGUAACGCGUAGGUAACCUGCCUGGUAGCGGGGGAUAACUAUUGGAAACGACAGCUAAUACCGCAUAAUAUUAAUUAUUGCAUGAUAAUUGAUUGAAAGAUGCAACUGCAUCACUACCAGAUGGACCUGCGUUGUAUUAGCUAGUAGGUGAGGUAACGGCUCACCUAGGCGACGAUACAUAGCCGACCUGAGAGGGUGAUCGGCCACACUGGGACUGAGACACGGCCCAGACUCCUACGGGAGGCAGCAGUAGGGAAUCUUCGGCAAUAGACGAAAGUCUGACCGAGCAACGCCGCGUGAGUGAAGAAGGUUGUCGGAUCGUAAAGCUCUGUUGUAAGAGAAGAACGGGUGUGAGAGUGGAAAGUUCACACUGUGACGGUAUCUUACCAGAAAGGGACGGCUAACUACGUG
RNAcentral lists this ribosomal RNA (505 nucleotides) under uncultured bacterium. RNAcentral's name for it is "partial 16S ribosomal RNA". It matches the Rfam family "Bacterial small subunit ribosomal RNA", at positions 28 to 507 of the family's 1533-position model. The record is from RNAcentral.